UACGUAGGGUGCAAGCGUUGUCCGGAAUUAUUGGGCGUAAAGAGCUCGUAGGCGGUCUGUCGCGUCUGCUGUGAAAACUCAGGGCUUAACCCUGAGCUUGCAGUGGGUACGGGCAGACUAGAGUGCGGUAGGGGAGACUGGAAUUCCUGGUGUAGCGGUGAAAUGCGUAGAUAUCAGGAGGAAUACCGGUGGCGAAAGCGACUCUCUGGACGGCAACUGACGCUGAGGCACGAAAGCGUGGGGAGCAAACAGG
RNAcentral lists this ribosomal RNA (253 nucleotides) under uncultured bacterium. Its description in RNAcentral is "partial 16S ribosomal RNA". It matches the Rfam family "Bacterial small subunit ribosomal RNA", at positions 524 to 776 of the family's 1533-position model. The record is from RNAcentral.